Non-coding RNA from Picea glauca (white spruce), 127 nucleotides. The record is from Rfam. Lineage: Eukaryota; Viridiplantae; Streptophyta; Pinopsida; Pinales; Pinaceae.
UCUUAUAUUCAUUCCUACAUCAUAGCAUUAAUACAUCGGAUCCCAUUAGAACUCUGCAUUCAAGCAUGCUCGGAAUAGAGUAGUACUAAGAUGGAUGACCACUUGGGAAGUCCUAGUGUUUUACGUG